AUUGAACGCUGGCGGCAUGCCUAACACAUGCAAGUCGAACGGUAACGGACCGCUGGGAUUCCUUCGGGAUGACCUUGGUGCCGACGAGUGGCGGACGGGUGAGUAACACUUGGGAAUCUGCCCAGUAGUGGGGGACAACAUUCGGAAACGGAUGCUAAUACCGCAUACGCCCUAUGGGGGAAAGUGGGGGAUCUUCGGACCUCCCGCUAUUGGAUGAGCCCAAGUCGGAUUAGCUUGUUGGUGGGGUAAUGGCCCACCAAGGCUACGAUCGGUAGCUGGUCUGAGAGGACGAUCAGCCACACUGGGACUGAGACACGGCCCAGACUCCUACGGGAGGCAGCAGUGGGGAAUAUUGGACAAUGGGCGCAAGCCUGAUCCAGCAAUGCCGCGUGUGUGAAGAAGGCCUGCGGGUUGUAAAGCACUUUCAGUAGGGAAGAAAAGCCUGAGGUUAAUACCCUCGAGUCUUGACGUUACCUACAGAAGAAGCACCGGCUAAUUCCGUG
RNAcentral lists this ribosomal RNA (503 nucleotides) under uncultured bacterium. RNAcentral describes it as "bacterial SSU rRNA". It matches the Rfam family "Bacterial small subunit ribosomal RNA", at positions 30 to 507 of the family's 1533-position model. The record is from RNAcentral.